RNAcentral lists this ribosomal RNA (827 nucleotides) under uncultured Deferribacteres bacterium. Its description in RNAcentral is "bacterial SSU rRNA". It matches the Rfam family "Bacterial small subunit ribosomal RNA", at positions 576 to 1402 of the family's 1533-position model. Lineage: Bacteria; Pseudomonadati; Deferribacterota; Deferribacteres. The record is from RNAcentral.
GUGUUUCUUAAGUCUGCUGUGAAAUUUCGCAGCUCAACUACGAAAGUGCAGUGGAAACUGAGAGACUUGAGUACAGAAGAGGGAAGUGGAAUUCCUGGUGUAGCGGUGGAAUGCGUAGAUAUCAGGAAGAACACCGACGGCGAAGGCAGCUUUCUGGUCUGUUACUGACCCUGAGGGACGAAAGCGCGGGUAGCGAACAGGAUUAGAUACCCUGGUAGUCCGUGCCGUAAACGAUGGUCACUAGGUGCCGGAGGAUUCGACCCCUUCGGUGCCGUAGCUAACGUGUUAAGUGACCCGCCUGGGGAGUACGAUCGCAAGGUUGAAACUCAAAGGAAUUGACGGGGGCCCGCACAAGCGGUGGAGCAUGUGGUUUAAUUCGAUGCAACGCGAAGAACCUUACCUGGGCUUGAACUGCAGUGGAAACUUCCUGAAAGGGAAGCCUCCUUCGGGACCGCUGUAGAGGUGCUGCAUGGCUGUCGUCAGCUCGUGUCGUGAGAUGUUGGGUUAAGUCCUGCAACGAGCGCAACCCCUACCGUUAGUUGCCAUCAGGUUAUGCUGGGCACUUUAACGGGACUGCCUGCGUUAAGCAGGAGGAAGGUGGGGAUGACGUCAAGUCCUCAUGGCCCUUACGUCCAGGGCUACACACGUGCUACAAUGGGGAGUACAAAGGGUCGCAAUACCGCGAGGUGGAGCCAAUCCCACAAAACUACCCUCAGUUCGGAUUGCACUCUGCAACUCGAGUGCAUGAAGCCGGAAUCGCUAGUAAUCGUGGAUCAGCACGCCACGGUGAAUACGUUCCCGGGCCUUGUACACACCGCCCGUCACAC